RNAcentral lists this long non-coding RNA (1443 nucleotides) under Carassius auratus (goldfish). Its description in RNAcentral is "lncRNA (ENSCARG00000052779.1)". Lineage: Eukaryota; Metazoa; Chordata; Actinopteri; Cypriniformes; Cyprinidae. The record is from RNAcentral.
AUGUCUCUUUGCCGCAUGUGUGGUGGGCCCAUUGAUUUCCCGGACGCACACGAGCAGUGUGUGCUGUGCCUGGGUCGGGCUCACGCAGAGGCGGCAUUCGAAGGAUCCGGAUGUCGUGCCUGUGAGGAGCUUCCCAUCAAGAUCCUUCGUGCAAGGCUGGCCGUUACCCGUAACGGUGGCCCUGUAUCUCCUGCCUCUCCCCCGUCCGCCGCCGUCGAGCCGCGAACCGGGAGACUGCAGAGAGCUCCGUCGACGGAUUCUGUCGAGGUACUGGCGUCGGCCCAACGCCCACGCCACCCUCACGUGGAAGAUCCCCUCUCAUACUCUGAGGCCAGUUACCGCCCUCCACUAGAAGCGCGGGAAAUGGUCUCGUUUGGAUAUGACGAGGACGACGCCAUGUCUACUAAUGCCUCAGACCCGGGAGCGUGGUCCGAGGCCCCGUCUGAAGCCGCCCCCGCCUCGCUGGAUGCCGAGCUUAUGGCGAUCCUCACGGAGGCGGUGGCAGAUAUGGAACUGGAGUGGACAGCCCCCAAGGAGCUGCCGUCUAAGAGAUGGAUGGACGGUUCUUUCCUCGGCGCGGGCCGCCAGGCUGAAGCCCCGCAGAGACCCGCGCCUUUUUUCUCUGAGGUCCACGAGGAACUCACCCGGUCAUGGCGCUCCCCUUACUCAGCCCGAGCCCAUGCACAGGGGACCCAGCUGCUGACGACGGUGGAAGGGGCGGAGAAAUUGGGAUACGCGCGACCGCCUCCCGUCGAGGAUGCUAUCGCGGCCCAUCUCGCGUCUUCUCCCGGCUGGAAAACCGCCUCUUUGCCUUCUAAGCCAUGUCGAGCUACUGCUCACAUCGCUGAGAAGGCGUACAUAUCUGCUGGACAUGCAGCAUCUGCCCUCCACACGAUGGCAAUCCUGCAGGUCUUCCAAACUCUGCUCCUUGGGUCCCUGGAUGAGGGAAGCCCGGACCCAGAGUCGCUCAGGAAGCUGCGCACGGCGGCGGAUCUCGCUCUCGCGGCGUCAAAAAAGAUAGCGCAGGGAAUCGGCCGCAAUAUGAGCAGCCUUGUGGUCCUGCAUCGCCAUCUGUGGCUGACGCUGUCCGGCAUGCGCGAUGCCGAAAAGAGGCAGUUCCUGGAUGCACCGGUGAGCCCCACCGGUCUUUUCGGUGUCGCGGUGGAAUCUCUGUCGGAGAAAUACGCCGAGACCGUCAAGCAGUCUAAGAUGAUGCCUCAUCUUUUGCCGAAACGGUCUCAAGCCCCCCCUGCAGCGAGGUCCAGAUCUUCUUCGGCACAGCGACAAGCGGGAAAUACCAGGCGCGCGUUCCCGAGCGCGGCAGAGCGUCGUGAGCCAGAGCCACCAUUCCGCCAGAGGCAGCCCAGGAAGCCCCGUUUUGGUCCGAAACCGGCCUCUAGCAGCCAAGGGCGCCCGGCUGGCAAGAAGGAGCAGCGUUCCUGA